This 497-nucleotide ribosomal RNA is filed under the name uncultured bacterium. RNAcentral's name for it is "partial 16S ribosomal RNA". It matches the Rfam family "Bacterial small subunit ribosomal RNA", at positions 28 to 507 of the family's 1533-position model. The record is from RNAcentral.
GAUGAACGCUGGCGGCGUGCCUAAUACAUGCAAGUCGAGCGAACGGACGAGAAGCUUGCUUCUCUGAUGUUAGCGGCGGACGGGUGAGUAACACGUGGAUAACCUACCUAUAAGACUGGGAUAACUUCGGGAAACCGGAGCUAAUACCGGAUAAUAUUUUGAACCGCAUGGUUCAAAAGUGAAAGACGGUCUUGCUGUCUCUUAUAGAUGUAUCCGCGCUGCAUUAGCUAGUUGGUAAGGUAACGGCUUACCAAGGCAACGAUGCAUAGCCGACCUGAGAGGGUGAUCGGCCACACGGGAACGGAGACACGGACCAGACUCCUACGGGAGGCAGCAGUAGGGAAGAUUCCGCAAUGGGCGAAAGCAUGACGGAGCAACGCCGCGUGAGUGAUGAAGGUCUUCGGAUCGUAAAACUCUGUUAUUAGGGAAGAACAUAUGUGUAAGUAAAUGUGCACAUCUUGACGGUAACUAAUCAGAAAGCCACGGCUAACUACGUG